UCGAGAAUCAUUCGCAAUGGGCGAAAGCCUGACGGUGCGACGCCGCGUGGAGGAUGAAGGCCCUAGGGUCGUAAACUCCUGUCAUCAGGGAGUAAUGGCUCAUAUAGUAACUGAUAUGGGUCUUGAUAGUACCUGAAGAGGAAGGGACGGCAAACUUCGUGCCAGCAGCCGCGGUAAUACGAAGGUCCCAAGCGUUGUUCGGAUUUACUGGGCGUAAAGAGUCUGUAGGCGGUGGGGUAAGUCAGAUGUGAAAUCCCGGGGCUCAACCCCGGAACUGCAUCCGAUACUGCCUUACUUGAGGGUCGGAGGGGAGUCUGGAAUUCUCGGUGUAGCAGUGAAAUGCGUAGAUAUCGAGAGGAACACUAGUGGCGAAGGCGAGACUCUGGACGACAACUGACGCUGAGAGACGAAGGCCAGGGGAGCGAAAAGGAUUAGAUACCCCAGUAGUCCCUGAGCGGGCUGGCAAGGCGCAU
This 473-nucleotide ribosomal RNA is filed under the name uncultured bacterium. Its description in RNAcentral is "bacterial SSU rRNA". It matches the Rfam family "Bacterial small subunit ribosomal RNA", at positions 355 to 825 of the family's 1533-position model. The record is from RNAcentral.